RNAcentral lists this small nucleolar RNA (173 nucleotides) under Ursus thibetanus thibetanus. RNAcentral's name for it is "Small nucleolar RNA U3 (ENSUTTG00000012891.1)". It matches the Rfam family "Small nucleolar RNA U3". From Rfam's summary of the family: Small nucleolar RNAs (snoRNAs) are involved in the processing and modification of rRNA in the nucleolus. Lineage: Eukaryota; Metazoa; Chordata; Mammalia; Carnivora; Ursidae. The record is from RNAcentral.
AAGACUAUAAUUCCAGGGGUCAUUUCUAUAGUUUACUAGACAAGUUUCUCUCAAUGUGCGGAGUACCCAAAACCAUAAGGAGGAGGCAGAAAAAAAUCUCUUCCAGACCUUGCUUUUAAAAAGGUGAAUUACACCUUUUUGGGUGAAAUUCUUUUGGGUGUAUACCCAGAGGU